Crotalus tigris (Tiger rattlesnake) is the source of this 786-nucleotide long non-coding RNA. RefSeq lists it as uncharacterized. The record is from RefSeq and is a predicted model, not a curated record. Lineage: Eukaryota; Metazoa; Chordata; Lepidosauria; Squamata; Viperidae. The transcript is spliced from 2 exons.
UGCUUCACUGGAAGUUCCUACAAUGAAGAUUAUACUCUGUUACCAGACCCCAGCACGUUGUUGCCGAUUUUGUCCUGUAUGUUCAAAAAACAUGAAAUCCUGUUGAGAAGAAAAACAAACAGAGAAUAAUUAAGUCUUCACCCAAUCCAGGAACCUGAUUUAUGAAAAUCAAAAAGAAUUUUUAACAAUCCAGAUAUUCAAGUAAGAAGCAGAAAUAACUGCACUGAUGGAAGUAUCCAGACAGAAGAAUAGGCAGGCAAUUAAGUUUCAUCAUCAAUGGUAUUUAAGGCAUGCCUGUUAGAUUAAAGUCUUAUAUGGAAUGUCUGAAAUCUGCAGCCUUGUAGAUUGGAUAAGACAGUGUAAAGUUGUCUUUCCAAUAUUGGAUUUCUUUUGAAUUAUUUUUAACUCCAAAGUAGUAUUGUCUACAAUUACUUGUAGAACCAAUUUGGUCUAGUGGUUAAGGUGCUGACCUAGGAACCAGGACAUAUGGUCCUGCCUUAGGCAGGAAAGUGGCUGGUUGGCUUUUGGAUAGUCAAUUGCUCUUAGCCCAAUUCCCAAAGAUAAUUGUGGAAGAAAUUGGAGAAGGAAGAAAUAUUAGGUAUGUUCACUGCCUUGAAUAUUUAUAAUAAUAAAGGAGGGAAAAUAAACAAACUUUCUUCCAAAAUCUUAAGUUAGUAGGAGAAGGCAUAUAUACAUUGUGAAAGUCUUGGAUAACCAACCAAAGGUUAAUUAAAUGACUUAUUUCUCAUGGUAUUUACAAAUAAUUAAAUUUGUUUAUUAAACAUA